RNAcentral lists this ribosomal RNA (484 nucleotides) under uncultured bacterium. RNAcentral describes it as "partial 16S ribosomal RNA". It matches the Rfam family "Bacterial small subunit ribosomal RNA", at positions 29 to 507 of the family's 1533-position model. The record is from RNAcentral.
AUUGAACGCUGGCGGCAGGCCUAACACAUGCAAGUCGAGCGGAUGAAGGGAGCUUGCUCCUGGAUUCAGCGGCGGACGGGUGAGUAAUGCCUAGGAAUCUGCCUGGUAGUGGGGUAUAACGUCCGGAAACGGGCGCUACUACCGCCUACGUCCUGCGGGUGCAAGUGGGUGAUCUUCGGACCGCACGCUAUCAUAUGAGCCUAGGUCGGAUUAGGUAGUUGGUGGGGUGAAGACAGACCAACGCGAGGAUCCGUAGCUGGUCUGAGUGGAUGAUCAGUCAGACUGGAGCGGAGACACGGCCCAGACGCGAACGGGAGGCAGCAGAGGGGAAUAUUGGACAAUGGGGGAAAGCAUAAUGCAGCCAGGCCGCGUGUGUGAAGAAGGUACGCGGAUUGUAAAGCGAUGUAAGUUGGGAGGAAGGGCAGUAAGUUAAGACCUGGCUGGUUUGACGUUACAAACAGAAUAAGCACCGGCGAACUUCGUG